UGGAGGCAGCAGUAAGGAAUAUUGGACAAUGGGGGAAACCCUGAUCCAGCGAUGCCGCGUGUGUGAAGAAGGCCUGCGGGUUGUAAAGCACUUUAGUUGGUGAGGAAAGGCGGCUUUUGAAUAAAGAGUUGUUGUGACGUUAACCAAAGAAUAAGCACCGGCAAACUCUGUGCCAGCAGCCGCGGUAAUACAGAGGGUGCAAGCGUUAAUCGGACUUACUGGGCGUAAAGGGUGCGUAGGCGGGUAGUUAAGUUAGUUGUGAAAGGUCUGGGCUUAACCUAGGAACUGCAAUUAAGACUGGCCAUCUAGAGUUGAGUAGAGGGGAGCGGAAUUUCCGGUGUAGCGGUGAAAUGCGUAGAUAUCGGAAGGAACACCCGUAGCGAAGGCGGCUCUCUGGACUCAAACUGACGCUGAGGCACGAAAGCGUGGGUAGCGAACAGGAUUAGAUACCCUGGUAGUCCC
RNAcentral lists this ribosomal RNA (462 nucleotides) under uncultured bacterium. RNAcentral describes it as "bacterial SSU rRNA". It matches the Rfam family "Bacterial small subunit ribosomal RNA", at positions 343 to 797 of the family's 1533-position model. The record is from RNAcentral.